AAAAGUCGUAACAAGGUCUCCGUUGGUGAACCAGCGGAGGGAUCAUUG
Molecule: ribosomal RNA, 48 nt
Filed under: Cytospora sp. 98007
Lineage: Eukaryota; Fungi; Ascomycota; Sordariomycetes; Diaporthales; Cytosporaceae
Also listed under: 1 other name
Description: partial 18S ribosomal RNA
Rfam family: Eukaryotic small subunit ribosomal RNA
Source: RNAcentral